UUGUUCGCAAUGGGCGCAAGCCUGACGACGCAACGCCGCGUGGAGGAUGAAGAUCUUCGGGUCGUAAACUCCUGUCGAGUGGGAAGAAUAGUUUCCGGGCGAAUAUCCCGGGAGCCUGACGGUACCACUAAAGGAAGCCCCGGCUAACUCCGUGCCAGCAGCCGCGGUAAUACGGGGGGGGCAAGCGUUGUUCGGAAUUACUGGGCGUAAAGGGCUCGUAGGCGGCCAACUAAGUCGGAUGUGAAAUCCCCAGGCUCAACCUGGGAACUGCAUCCGAUACUGGAUGGCUUGAAUUCGGGAGAGGGAUGCAGAAUUCCAGGUGUAGCGGUGAAAUGCGUAGAGAUCGGGAGGAACAUCUGUGGCGAAGGCGGCCACCUGGACCAGCACUGACACUGAGGCACGAAAGCGUGGGGAGCAAAC
This 420-nucleotide ribosomal RNA is filed under the name uncultured bacterium. RNAcentral describes it as "bacterial SSU rRNA". It matches the Rfam family "Bacterial small subunit ribosomal RNA", at positions 362 to 773 of the family's 1533-position model. The record is from RNAcentral.